GCCCGGUUAGCUCAAUCGGUAGAGCGUGAGACUCUUAAUCUCAAGGUUGCGGGUAAGUUAUUCUUUGCUCAUCCGGGG
Molecule: non-coding RNA, 78 nt
Organism: Daldinia grandis
Lineage: Eukaryota; Fungi; Ascomycota; Sordariomycetes; Xylariales; Hypoxylaceae
Source: the annotation of a GenBank genome assembly